UCCACCUCUUGAAUGCUGGGAUGUGCACC
This 29-nucleotide non-coding RNA is filed under the name Rattus norvegicus (Norway rat). The record is from RNAcentral. Lineage: Eukaryota; Metazoa; Chordata; Mammalia; Rodentia; Muridae.